RNAcentral lists this non-coding RNA (94 nucleotides) under unclassified sequences. Its description in RNAcentral is "DUF3800-V RNA". It matches the Rfam family "DUF3800-V RNA". The record is from Rfam by way of RNAcentral.
CGGCUUAUGAGUAAGGCCUUUCCGGUUCUUGCAGCGUUUCCUUCCGUAUGGUUGGUAAAGCUGCGAGGGUUCGCCGGAAAGGGUUCAUAAGCCU